RNAcentral lists this ribosomal RNA (497 nucleotides) under uncultured bacterium. RNAcentral's name for it is "partial 16S ribosomal RNA". It matches the Rfam family "Bacterial small subunit ribosomal RNA", at positions 28 to 507 of the family's 1533-position model. The record is from RNAcentral.
GAUGAACGCUGGCAGCGUGCCUAAUACAUGCAAGUCGAGCGAACAGACGAGGAGCUUGCUCCUCUGACGUUAGCGGCGGACGGGUGAGUAACACGUGGAUAACCUACCUAUAAGACUGGGAUAACUUCGGGAAACCGGAGCUAAUACCGGAUAAUAUAUUGAACCGCAUGGUUCAAUAGUGAAAGACGGUUUUGCUGUCACUUAUAGAUGGAUCCGCGCCGCAUUAGCUAGUUGGUAAGGUAACAGCUUACCAAGGCAACGAUGCGUAGCCGACCUGAGAGGGUGAUCGGCCACACUGGAACUGAGACACGGUCCAGACUCCUACGGGAGGCAGCAGUAGGGAAUCUUCCGCAAUGGGCGAAAGCCUGACGGAGCAACGCCGCGUGAGUGAUGAAGGUCUUCGGAUCGUAAAACUCUGUUAUUAGGGAAGAACAAAUGUGUAAGUAACUAUGCACGUCUUGACGGUACCUAAUCAGAAAGCCACGGCUAACUACGUG